RNAcentral lists this ribosomal RNA (617 nucleotides) under Microbacteriaceae bacterium Ri2Ps_5171. RNAcentral describes it as "bacterial SSU rRNA". It matches the Rfam family "Bacterial small subunit ribosomal RNA", at positions 395 to 1021 of the family's 1533-position model. Lineage: Bacteria; Bacillati; Actinomycetota; Actinomycetes; Micrococcales; Microbacteriaceae. The record is from RNAcentral.
CGCCGCGUGAGGGAUGACGGCCUUCGGGUUGUAAACCUCUUUUAGUAGGGAAGAAGCGAAAGUGACGGUACCUGCCUAAAAAGCACCGGCUAACUACGUGCCAGCAGCCGCGGUAAUACGUAGGGUGCAAGCGUUGUCCGGAAUUAUUGGGCGUAAAGAGCUCGUAGGCGGUUUGUCCCGUCUGCUGUGAAAUCCCGAGGCUCAACCUCGGGCUUGCAGUGGGUACGGCCAGACUAGAGUGCGGUAGGGGAGAUUGGAAUUCCUGGUGUAGCGGUGGAAUGCGCAGAUGUCAAGAGGAACACCGAUGGCGAAGGCAGAUCUCUGGGCCGUAACUGACGCUGAGGAGCGAAAGCCUGAGGAGCGAACAGGAUUAUAUACCCUGGUAUUCCAUGCCCUGGACGUUGGGCGCUAAAUGUAGGGACCUUUCCACGGCUUCUGUGUCGGAGCGGACGCAUUAAGCGCCCCGCCUGGGGAGUACGGCCGCACGGCUAAAACACAGAGGAAUUGACGAGGGGCCGCACGAGCGGCGGAGCAUGCGAAUUAGUUCGAUGCAACGCGGAGAACCUUACCAACGCUUGACGUACACCGGAUACGGCCACAGAUGGUCGCCCCCUUGU